Molecule: ribosomal RNA, 460 nt
Filed under: uncultured bacterium
Lineage: Bacteria
Description: partial 16S ribosomal RNA
Rfam family: Bacterial small subunit ribosomal RNA
Source: RNAcentral
CCUACGGGUGGCAGCAGUGAGGAAUAUUGGUCAAUGGACGCGAGUCUGAACCAGCCAAGUAGCGUGAAGGAUGACUGCCCUAUGGGUUGUAAACUUCUUUUAUAAGGGAAUAAAGUGAUGCACGUGUGCCUUUUUGUAUGUACCUUAUGAAUAAGGAUCGGCUAACUCCGUGCCAGCAGCCGCGGUAAUACGGAGGAUGCGAGCGUUAUCCGGAUUUAUUGGGUUUAAAGGGUGCGUAGGUGGGUUGUUAAGUUAGUGGUGAAAGUUUGGGGCUCAACCGUAAAAUUGCAAUUGAUACUGGCAGCCUAGAGUACAGAUGAGGUAGGCGGAAUGCGUGGUGUAGCGGUGAAAUGCUUAGAUAUCACGCAGAACUCCGAUUGCGAAGGCAGCCUACUAAACUGCCACUGACAUUGAGGCUCGAAAGUGUGGGUAUCAAACAGGAUUAGAUACCCCUGUAGUC